RNAcentral lists this non-coding RNA (24 nucleotides) under Arabidopsis thaliana (thale cress). Lineage: Eukaryota; Viridiplantae; Streptophyta; Magnoliopsida; Brassicales; Brassicaceae. The record is from RNAcentral.
GGUGGUGUUGUGAAAGUUUGAUAC